GGCCUGGUGGUGUAGUGGUUACACAUCCUCUGGAAAUAUCACGAUGCUGGUAAUUAUAUAUUUAUGAGGAAGUCCCCUGUUCAAAUCAGGGCCAGGCCU
Molecule: non-coding RNA, 99 nt
Organism: Mycena latifolia
Lineage: Eukaryota; Fungi; Basidiomycota; Agaricomycetes; Agaricales; Mycenaceae
Source: the annotation of a GenBank genome assembly